AUUGAACGCUGGCGGCAGGCCUAACACAUGCAAGUCGAACGAGUGGCGGACGGGUGAGUAAUGUCUGGGAAACUGCCCGAUGGCGGGGGAUAACUACUGGAAACGGUAGCUAAUACCGCAUACCAUCGGAUGUGCCCAGAUGGGAUUAGCUAGUAGGUGGGGUAACGGCUCACCUAGGCGACGAUCCCUAGCUGGUCUGAGAGGAGGACCAGCAACACGGGAACUGAGACACGGCCCAGACGCCUACGGGAGGCAGCAGUGGGGAAUAUUGCGCAAUGGGCGCAAGCCUGAGGCAGCCAUGCCGCGUGUAUGAAGAAGGCCUUCGGGUUGUAAAGUACUUUCAGCGGGGAGGCGUUACCUGCAGAAGAAGCACCGGCUAACUCCGUGCCAGCAGCCGCGGUAAUAC
Molecule: ribosomal RNA, 406 nt
Filed under: uncultured bacterium
Lineage: Bacteria
Description: partial 16S ribosomal RNA
Rfam family: Bacterial small subunit ribosomal RNA
Source: RNAcentral